RNAcentral lists this long non-coding RNA (1406 nucleotides) under Pogona vitticeps (central bearded dragon). RNAcentral describes it as "lncRNA (ENSPVIG00000005221.1)". The record is from RNAcentral. Lineage: Eukaryota; Metazoa; Chordata; Lepidosauria; Squamata; Agamidae.
AUGGCGGCCAGGAAGGACGCGUCGGCCGAAGAUCAGGCCAGCGAAGACUCCGAAGAGGGGGAGGAAGAAGACGUGGGCUUCUCCGAAUACGACUCCACUUGGGAGGAGGAGGAUGAGGAUGACGACGGCGACGAGGAGAAGGAGGAUCGGGCACAGCUGGAAGAGAAGCCAGGGAAGAAAGGGCGGGAGGCGGCGGCGGCGGGCGCUAAAGAGAAAUCGAAACCUCAGGAGAAGCCGGGCAGGGGGUCGCCCAGCGCCACGUGGGCCUCCGGGAUUCAGGAACGACGAAAGGCAAACCAUUCCUCCAUGGGGUUUAGAAGAUGUAAGGUAGGUGCCAAAAACGGGAGGGGUGGUGUGCCAUUCGUAGAGGUGGGCUUUGUGUUUUGUCAGUGCUGUUCUGUAGAGACGGGCACAAAACACUGUUCAGCAGCACCCACACAGGUGUUCCGUAGGCACCGCACACUUCCUUCCCUGCCUCCUCUGGGGGAUUGUUCUCUCGCCGGCAGCAGCACCCUUCCCUGUUCUGCCUCCUCCAGCAGCCAUCCACUCAGAUAAGGAGGCAGGGCAGGGAAGCCCAUUGUGCUUCCUCUGAGUGGGUGAUCACUGUGCAGUUGCUGGGAUGAUCCAUGAUUCAUGCCCAUCUCUACUCUUCUGUGGCCUUUUCUCUUGGGCCUGGCACAGAUUGAUAAUGGUAUUGAGCAUUUUUGAUAGUCUCACCAUUUCUUCUUCCUUGGAACCAAAAUAUCAGUUUGGAGUAGCAAAGAAAACUCAGCUGAAAUUGCUUCUAUAAAUUAAUAACAAUUGUGUGCUGUCAAGUCACUUGUGACUUACGGCAACCCUUUUCAGGGCUUUCCAGGUAGAUAGUAUUCUGAAGUGGUUUCUCAUUCCCUUCUUCUGGGGCCACCCUGGGUCUGUGCAGCUUGGCACCAGGCUGGCUCUUCUCGGAUGCACAGGGUGGAAUCAAACUGCCAACAUCUGGCUGCACAGCCAGAGACCUAACUCACUUGAGCUAUCCAGCCAUUACAGGCCAUCAGCAUUAUUCUCAAAUGAUGGAGUUGCAUGUGUAUGUCACCUUCCAAAGUAAUUGGUUCCAUUGUCAUACUGCUCUAACACUUAAGAUGUUUUUCCUAAUGUUCAGCGUAAAUCUGACUUCCUGUAGCUUGAGCCCAUUAUUAUGUGCUCUGCAAUCUGGGAUGAUUGAAAACAGCUCCUGCCCCUACAGAGAGGGAGUAAUCAAGGGAGAUGGGAAUAGACAGUCCUCGCUAGUGAUAUUCACAACCUUUUAAACUUACUAUUAUUGUAUGAUUUUAAUGGUUGUGAGCCUACUUGGGUACCCUGUGGGGAGAAGGCAGCAGAUAAAUAAUAUAAACAAAUAAAAAUGAAUAAAAGUGUUUGGGGGCUGUUCA